This 82-nucleotide transfer RNA is filed under the name Daphnia pulex (common water flea). It matches the Rfam family "tRNA". Rfam says of the family: Transfer RNA (tRNA) molecules are approximately 80 nucleotides in length. Their secondary structure includes four short double-helical elements and three loops (D, anti-codon, and T loops). Further hydrogen bonds mediate the characteristic L-shaped molecular structure. tRNAs have two regions of fundamental functional importance: the anti-codon, which is responsible for specific mRNA codon recognition, and the 3' end, to which the tRNAs corresponding amino acid is attached (by aminoacyl-tRNA synthetases). tRNAs cope with the degeneracy of the genetic code in two manners: having more than one tRNA (with a specific anti-codon) for a particular amino acid; and 'wobble' base-pairing, i.e. permitting non-standard base-pairing at the 3rd anti-codon position. The record is from Rfam by way of RNAcentral. Lineage: Eukaryota; Metazoa; Arthropoda; Branchiopoda; Diplostraca; Daphniidae.
GAUAGUGUGGCCGAUUGGUCUAUGGCGAUGAUUUUAGACACCAGACUCUUCGGAGUCAAGGGUUCGAAUCCCUUUGCUGUCA